Small nucleolar RNA from Misgurnus anguillicaudatus (oriental weatherfish), 79 nucleotides. RefSeq annotates it as small nucleolar RNA SNORD24. The record is from RefSeq and is a predicted model, not a curated record. Lineage: Eukaryota; Metazoa; Chordata; Actinopteri; Cypriniformes; Cobitidae.
UGCUUAUGAUGACCCUAUUUGCUACUCUUGAUUUCAGAGUGAUGAGACUUGCAACCACCAAAAUUGCAUAUCUGAAGCA